This 688-nucleotide ribosomal RNA is filed under the name uncultured Actinomycetes bacterium. RNAcentral describes it as "bacterial SSU rRNA". It matches the Rfam family "Bacterial small subunit ribosomal RNA", at positions 218 to 916 of the family's 1533-position model. Lineage: Bacteria; Bacillati; Actinomycetota; Actinomycetes. The record is from RNAcentral.
GUCAGGGAUGGGCCCGCGCCCUAUCAGCUUGUUGGUGGGGUAACGGCCUACCAAGGCGACGACGGGUAGCUGGUCUGAGAGGACGACCAGCCACACUGGAACUGAGAUACGGUCCAGACUCCUACGGGAGGCAGCAGUGGGGAAUAUUGCACAAUGGGCGAAAGCCUGAUGCAGCGACGCCGCGUGAGGGAUGACGGCCUUCGGGUUGUAAACCUCUUUCGGCAGGGACGAAGCGCAAGUGACGGUACCUGCAGAAGAAGUCCCGGCUAACUACGUGCCAGCAGCCGCGGUAAGACGUAGGGGACGAGCGUUGUCCGGAUUCAUUGGGCGUAAAGAGCGCGUAGGCGGCUACGCAAGUCGGUUGUGAAAACCCGGGGCUCAACCCCGGGCCUGCAGCUGAUACUGCGUGGCUAGAGGUAGGUAGGGGAGAUCGGAAUUCCUGGUGUAGCGGUGAAAUGCGCAGAUAUCAGGAGGAACACCGGUGGCGAAGGCGGAUCUCUGGGCCUUACCUGACGCUGAGGCGCGAAAGCUAGGGGAGCGAACAGGAUUAGAUACCCUGGUAGUCCUAGCCGUAAACGUUGGGUGCUAGGUGUGGGCGGAUAUCGACCCCGUCCGUGCCGAAGCUAACGCAUUAAGCACCCCGCCUGGGGAGUACGGCCGCAAGGCUAAAACUCAAAUGAAUUGACGG